This 73-nucleotide transfer RNA is filed under the name Stegodyphus mimosarum. It matches the Rfam family "tRNA". From Rfam's summary of the family: Transfer RNA (tRNA) molecules are approximately 80 nucleotides in length. Their secondary structure includes four short double-helical elements and three loops (D, anti-codon, and T loops). Lineage: Eukaryota; Metazoa; Arthropoda; Arachnida; Araneae; Eresidae. The record is from Rfam by way of RNAcentral.
GCCUUCGUGAUGUACUGAUCAGCACGAUCGGCUCGUAUUCGAGAGGUCCGUGGUUCGAUUCCCGGCGAAAGCU